UACAGAGGUCUCAAGCGUUGUUCGGAUUCAUUGGGCGUAAAGGGUGCGUAGGCGGCGCGGUAAGUCGGGGGUGAAAUCUCGGAGCUUAACUCCGAAACUGCAUUCGAUACUGCCGUGCUUGAGGACUGGAGAGGAGACUGGAAUUCAUGGUGUAGCAGUGAAAUGCGUAGAGAUCAUGAGGAAGACCAGUGGCGAAGGCGGGUCUCUGGACAGUUCCUGACACUGAGACACGAAGGCCAGGGGAGCAAACGGG
Molecule: ribosomal RNA, 253 nt
Filed under: uncultured bacterium
Lineage: Bacteria
Description: partial 16S ribosomal RNA
Rfam family: Bacterial small subunit ribosomal RNA
Source: RNAcentral